CCAACUCGAGCUCUUUUUACCUGAGCUGUUUGUGUACAUGUGUCCAAACUCUCCCAUGGGUUAUGAUUAUGAUGCUGCGCUUGGACACAUUCAAGGCAACCGUCAUUUAAGACGGUAUUAUGAAAAGCGAGGGAAGCAGUCAGCCAUGCUUAUUUUCCUCACAGGCGCUGACGCUCAGGUUCAGGAUAUUAGCGCUCUUCAUUACAUGCUGAAGGUCAAGGCCGGCCGCUCUGAGAGAGACGAUUAACUGCCAACAACAACCUCAGCGAUGUUUCUCACCUUCAUCUCAAAAACACAGAGCUGCUCGAGGAGAACAGAGCGAGAGUUUCCAUCUGAGCUGCUGUUGUGGAAACAUGUUCUGUUCUGACUGUGACGCAAGAGUGUGUGAUGACUGUAACUUCCAGAGAACUGCUGAUAGCAUCGACACCAGAGCUGCCCUGAUCCAGUGCAAACUCAACGUUUCGCUCUUCCUUAUUAUUAUUAUCCCUUGUUUUUCAGACCUGAAUGAGAUGUUUAGCAGAAUGUCCAAGCUGCUCUUUUCCAUUAAACAAGAGUGAACAAAGAUAAAAGCAACACACUAAAGAAACGUUUUGUUUGCAUGUUUACUCACCUCAUGAAAGUGUUUAUUUAUUAAGAGUUUUGGUUUUAUGGACUCGUGUUUGAGUUAAAAAGGUCUUAAUGCUGGAUGUGUUUCAUCUUUUGUCUUCUCCAGAUGUUAACUGAUGGACUGGAGUGCUGUGGAUUACUUGUGGAUUAUUGUGAUGUUUUUAUCAGCUGUUUGGACUCUCAUUCUGACGGCACCCAUUCACUGCAGAGCAUCCAUUGCUCAGACACUGAUGCAGUGCGACAUUUCUACAAACCUGAUGAAGAAACAAACUCAUCCUGAUCUCGGAUGAUCUGAGGCGCUCUGAUGUCUCGCCUGGGCGGCACGCGCCUGACAGAAUACUAAUGACGUCCUCAGAGAGCCUCCUGAACUGAUCCCAGAUCAGCCUCAAACACUGAUCGCAGAUCUGCUCCAGCUGCACCCGCGAGGACGCUUCUGGGUUAACUUCGGAGGAACUCUGGGAUUGGUUGAUAAUUUUUCUUUGAGAAAAAAUAUUAUUCUUAUAUGAGCUGAUGAGAUUUGAUAACGUUUUAGUGUCUUCUGCUCACCAAGGAUGCAUUUAUUUGACCAAAAAUACAGUAAAAAUUGUGACAAAUUAUUCUUAUUUAAAACAGCUGUUCUCUAUGUGAAUAUCUGUUAAAGUGUAAUUUAUUUCUGUGAUGUGCAGCUGUAUUUUCAACAUCAUUACUCCAGUCUUCAGUGUCACGUGAUCUUCAGAAAUCAUUCUAAUAUGCUG
Molecule: long non-coding RNA, 1340 nt
Organism: Cyprinus carpio carpio
Lineage: Eukaryota; Metazoa; Chordata; Actinopteri; Cypriniformes; Cyprinidae
Source: Ensembl